RNAcentral lists this long non-coding RNA (1792 nucleotides) under Zea mays. Its description in RNAcentral is "long non-coding RNA (ZMAY_LNC001171)". Lineage: Eukaryota; Viridiplantae; Streptophyta; Magnoliopsida; Poales; Poaceae. The record is from RNAcentral.
UGCGGGAUGGCCAUAAGGAGUAUCGAGUGUUCCUUUUUUACCUCCUCUCUCAUUUUCCUCUUCUCCGCCUGACGUUUCGUGGCGUCCGUCUACGGUUUACCUUUCUUCGUCUUCCUCGGUCCUACAGAUCUAAUUUUCUCACUCAUGUUGUGUGUCGUCCGCAGGAGAUCAAAUUUGGUUUACUCACGCCGGGUGCCGUCCACAGGAGAUUGUCUAGGUUUGUUCUCAUGCCAUUCGUGAACUAGAUCGUGUGGAGGCAUUCAUGGGUGCAUGUUUGUUUACCAUUCAGUUUGCAGGUAUGGCCUCUUUAGAGAACUCUAGAAUCUUCAUAUUUUUAUUUUGAUUAGUGCCCUUCUUUUCAAUAUUCAUGGUGUCUUUUUCGUAUAAAAUUACAUUCAUGUCGUUUCUUUUAUUUUUCAAUUAUUUUUUGAACUAUAAAUCUAUAUAUGCAGUAAAUGACUGAUGAGUGCAUUUUGCUUGUUGGUUGUCUGUAUACACACUUAUGCAGAUUUGCACGGUGCUCAAAACUGGCCCAAUGCAAGUUGUGUGCUUCAAUUUUUCUUUGUUCUACCAAGUCAGUUUUAAUUCCCCAAGCUGAUUGUUUGGAUCACAAGUUUUAUCGAGAACGAGAUUUAGUUAAAGGAGAUUUGAGGCUAACUACUUAACACUCUGUUUGGCUAGAUAGUGGAAAACGUGACUAAUAAAAAGAACGAUUUCACUAAACUCCUAUCUGGUCUUUACAAACCAAAUUCCCAUACCUCCUUUUUGUGUCACAUCCUUGAUUUUUGGUUCUUCCUUGUAACAUGAGAGAAAAAUGAUUUGAUGCGAUGUAAUAUAUCUCCACAAAUAGUCUAAUCUGAAUAUAAAAAACACAGAUAAGUUGUGGUAGUCACCCCCUAAUAACUGAUUUCUUAGAGUUGCUCAUGAGUUGAUUCAGAGUUUCCCUGUAUCUACAUGUUCUAUAAGAUAUGCUCAAUUGCAGUCUUAGCAAUGAGUUUCCUUGUAUCUACAUGUUCUAUGUGAUCAACGGUUCUGAGAAGAUAGAAAUGAAUGUUUUGGAAAAGCUUUUGCCUUGAGGAGCCAUUCCUGUUAUUGUCUCAGGUAUACAGACUCAAAGGUUCCUUUGGACUGAUUACACAGGACAUACAUGCUUUGGAAUAGCAUCAAUAUUAUUAUUGGCAUAUCAAGGCAUGUGUAGGCAUAGUAUCUCAAUGUCCUUCCCAGGUGCCAACCUCAUUCCAUUCUCCACCUGAUCAGUACACACAUGCUCUGUUUACAAUUUGAAUUAGUCACAUUUUAGAACAUGACAGAUUUCACAUGCUUUAAAAAAGGAAAGAGAAACUACCUCCGUAUGUUUGAAACGUUUCCACUAACUCAUUGUCGACUUAUGUUUCUGGUGUAGGCUGAUUGUCACUGCAGGGGAUGAGGCAGGCGUACGAUAUAUAUACAUAUAAUCAUUUGUCUUCAUUUAUGUGAUACUUGUGCUGUCUCAAGGAAUCUGUAUGGCGCCCGAUAGGGCGCUACUGAUUCUAGUAAGAACUUAAGAAGCCAUGGAUGGGAACGGCAACUGGGACACGAUGAAAGGCAAUAAGUUAGCCGCCGAGGUCGCCGUCGCGCGUGAGGUCAGGUCGGCAACGUGUUGCGGUGUGUGGGCUGCACGUGAGCUAGCUAGCUAACCGGACGCGCGGUUGACCCGCUUGCUUUGCUUUGCUUUACUUGCCAUGGAGGGCAAACAGUGAUGUAUUGUCGCAUGGCCUAUGUGUGACGUGUCAUAUAUAACCUGUUUCAUGGA